GACGAACGCUGGCGGCGCGCUUAACACAUGCAAGUCGAACGGUGAUCCCAGGAGCUUGCUUCUGGGUGAGCAGUGGCGAACGGGUGGGUAACACGUGAGUAACCUGCCCCUGACUCUGGAAUAAGCGCUGGAAACGGCGUCUAAUACCGGAUACGAGACGCAACCGCAUGGUUAGUGGCUGGAAAGUUUUUCGGUCUGGGAUGGACUCGCGGCCUAUCAGCUUGUUGGUGAGGUAAUGGCUCACCAAGGCGAUGACGGGUAGCCGGCCUGAGAGGGCGAUCGGCCACACUGGGACUGAGACACGGCCCAGACUCCUACGGGAGGCAGCAGUGGGGAAUAUUGCACAAUGGGCGAAAGCCUGAUGCAGCGACGCCGCGUGAGGGAUGACGGCCUUCGGGUUGUAAACCUCUUUCAGCAGGGAAGAAGCGCAAGUGACGGUACCUGCAGAAGAAGCACCGGCUAACUACGUGCCAGCAGCCGCAGUAA
This 486-nucleotide ribosomal RNA is filed under the name uncultured bacterium. Its description in RNAcentral is "partial 16S ribosomal RNA". It matches the Rfam family "Bacterial small subunit ribosomal RNA", at positions 28 to 523 of the family's 1533-position model. The record is from RNAcentral.